UGCUGUGAAUUCACUCCAAAAUUAGUGGAAUUGUAUAAGACGCUCAAGGAAAGAAGAGAGAACUUUGAAGUAGUCCUAAUAUCUCUAGACGACGAAGAAGAAGACUUCAAAGAGAGUUUUGAGACAAUGCCUUGGUUGGCAUUGCCUUAUAAGGACAAGAGCUGCGAGAAGCUAGUGCGGUAUUUUGAACUUAGAACCAUUCCUAAUCUUGUCAUGAUUGGCCAAGAUGGGAAGACUUUGAACCCAAAUGUAGUGAACUGAUCGAAGAACAUGGUAUUGAAGCCUACCCAUUUACACCGGAAAAGCUUGACGAGCUAGCUGCAAUUGAAAAGGCAAAACUGGAAUCGCAGACGCUUGAGUCAGUUUUGGUUAAUGGGGAAAAUGAUUUUGUGAUUGACAAAAGUGGCUCCAAGGUAAUUGUUUUUGUUCUAUGCUAACCUCGCAUGUUGUUACCGCAUUACUUUCAAUAACUUUCUUAUGAUCACGAAUUGAAUUCAUUAGCAAAGGUUUUUUUUUUUUUUUAUCAUUCAAAUGGUGUGCUCUUGAUUAGGUCCCAGUGUCUGAACUAGUUGGAAAGAACAUUCUUCUUUACUUCUCAGCUCAAUGGUGCCCUCCAUGUCGUGCCUUUUUACCCAAGCUAAUUGAAGCAUACCACACAAUUAAAAGAAAAGACAAUGCAUUUGAGGUGAUCUUCAUCUCAAGUGACAGCGAUCAAUCCACCUUUGACGAGUUCUAUUCAGAAAUGCCUUGGUUAGCCCUUCCAUUUGGUGAUGAAAGGAAACAAAUCCUGAGUCGGAAAUUCAAAAUUCAAGGCAUUCCUGCAGCUGUAGCGAUUGGCCCAAGUGGCCGGACCAUUACCAAGGAAGCUCGGAUGCACCUGACAGCUUACGGGGCAGAUGCUUUUCCAUUUACCGAGGAACAUCUAAAGCAAUUGGAGGAGGAGAUUGAGGAAAAGGCAAAGGGGUGGCCAGAGAAAGUGAAACACGAACUUCAUACUGAGCAUGAGCUGUUACGUACUAAACGCAAAACAUAUAUUUGCGAUGGCUGUGGGGAAACAGGAAAUAGUUGGUCUUUCCAUUGCAAAGAAUGUGACUUUGAUCUUCACCCCAAGUGUGCUUUGAAGGAAGAUGAAGAUACUGGAAGUGAAAAGGGAAAUGAAGGAUGGAACUGCGAUGGAGAUGUGUGCCGCCGAGCCUAAGCAGGCAAGCGCUCCUUGUAUCUGGUUUUUUGGGCUUUCUGCUGUAAUAAGCGUGCGAUGUAAGGUGUUUGUUGCAUGUGUGUGAAGAUGUGGAUGUCUUUCCUGUUAUUGAUAUGUAAUUAAGAGGUGUGUUGCUUAAGGAUUUUCAUGUCCUGUAUUUCGAUACGAAGAAUAAAUAACCGGAUUGGCUAGGUUUAUGUGAAUCCUGUGACCCAUUUGAAACUUGGGAAUCCAUGGUUGCUUGUUGUUCUCAAAUCUCCAUCACUUGUUAUGAGGUUUUCGUCAUUCGUAGAGGAAAAUGCUUAUCAGUCCUGUCUAAAAAUUGGUUCCAUUGCGCCACUCUCUUUAUUCUUUUUGGCUGGAUGAAGCAGCAGCAGCUUCACCUCCGGUGCAAAUAUUCCUGUAAUUGUUUUGCAGAUUAAAAAAAAAGAGGGCUGAUUGUGACUUAACCAACAUUAUACUAUGAAACCUUUCUUAACUGAUGUGUACUUGACAAUGAAAUCGAGCAUGUGGAAAUUGACAAAUAAAAAAUAAUAUUAUUAUAAUAUAUUUUUAAAUAAAAAAUAUUUUAAAAAAUCCAUCAACAAUAAGCAAAGGACGGAUAGGAUUAAUGGCUAGCCAGGAGAAGUUAGCAAAAGCCAACAACUGUACCCAGACUGCUGACUCCUCCCCUCACAUGCCAAGAAAAGAUUCCCAUAAAUUUAAUGCUUUCCUUCUUGAUUCGCUUGAAAUCAUAUUAUUUGAUCCGUAAAGUAUAAUUAGUAACCCUUCGUCUCAUCAGUAAGGGACGGCAGCCCAAGCUUUCUUAUUAUCUUAUAGAAUCUUUUUUGAUGUGUAUGAAUUAAUAUUUUUUUUUUUAUAUAUAAUUCCAUGGAUAAGAUCGAAGUUUAGAAUAUACUGCCUAUCACGACAGCAUCAAAAUUUGUAGACCCACCACCUCUCAAUGGCCCCACCAGGUUGAUAAGAAAAAUUCUAAACAAAGAAUUCGACUUCAUGAUUUUCAUGAGUUUGUAUUUUAUAAAAUGCUUCUAUUCUCCAUAUUCGAAUCACAAAUUUAAAAAAUUAAACUGAUUGAUUUAGUUUUUUUUACAAUUAAUAUUUUUAUUUUAUUUUUUUAUAGAAUUAUCUUGAUUUUAUGUAUUAAGUCAUGAGUUUUUUAGUUUGAUCCAAGUUGCCUACAACCAAUUUUUUUUCUUCAAUUUAUUUGUUAUUGUUAUUUUUUUAAUUAUAUUAUUAAAUUAAUUAAGAUUAUUGAAUCCAAUAUUAAAUGACUAAGCAUUUUUUGCGAUGAAAAAAAUAAUAAUCCUGCUCUUGACGUGGCUACCAAUCUAAUGGUCAUUAAAACUCAAAUUUCCAUCAUCAUGGUUUUAAAAAAAACCAAACCUUUUUUUUGGCCGAGGAAAGUUAGUUACUUUUGUGUUUAUUCCCUUCAAUUUUUAAAGAACAUGAAACUAUUAACUAGUUGACCCGCGCUGUGUUAUGCAUCGAGUUGAAAAUUUUCAACAUAAAAAAGAAUAUACAUACAUUGCAAUGUGUUUUGUAAUAGAAGAAAUGAUAAUUGUGAACUCCAGGCUCAAAGCACUCGUCUAAUAAUUGUUAUGCAUCUCUUUGUUUCGAUUUGGCUGGAUGAAGAAACUUCACCUUUGGAGCAAAUAUUCCUGUAAUUGUAGUCACCCUUCUUCUCUUGUUAUUGUGAAUCUCAUCCUUAGUAAAGGGAUGUAAGCCCAAGCUGCGCGGAUAUAUAGCGCUGUUUGGAGUAGCUUUCUAAACUGAGUUUUUUUUAAAAAUAUGAAUUGAUUUUUCUAUUUUUUUUAUUUUUUAAUCAUUUUAAAUUUUAAUAUUAAAAAUAAUUUAUAAAAAAUAAAAAAUAAAAAAAAUAUUAUUUUCAUAUAUUUAUAUAUAAAAAAUACUUUAAAAAUAAUCUCCACAAUAAUCCUAUACACACGCUAUAGUUUGAUAACUAUUAUAUUGGCCCAUGUUCCGCAACGAGUCAAUAAUAAAUUUUUUUUUAUCAAAUGUAGAUAAUAUUUUAAGUGUCUUAGGGUCUGACAAAAAGACUUACAGCUUCUAGCCCUUACUGAUUAGCCGGACCCAAUGCUGAUAAAUCCAAUUGGCAACAGAACCCAUCGCUGAUUGGUCUAGCUAUGCCAGACCCAAAGCUUUUGGGUCCUGUUGGGUGCAAAACCCAACGCUGAUAAAUCCAACUGGCAAUAGAACCCAUUGUUGAUGGGUCUAGCUACGCCAGACCCAAAGCUUUUGGGUCCUGCUGAGUGCAGGACCCAACACUGAUGGGUGUUGGGUCCUGCUGGCAGCAAAUACAAACCCUAUUGGGUGUAAAGUUGGUAGUAGGACCCAACCCAAUUGGAUGCAAAGUUGGUUGUAGCUAUAGAGCCACACCUAAUAACUAUGGGUAUGGUUGUGCAACCAUAUCCAAUAUCUUUGGGUCUGGCUACAGAGCCGCACCAAAAGCCUACUUGUAGUUUUUUUCUUGGCAGAGAUAAUUAAUAAUAAUAAUUUAUUUUACUUUUCAAAUUAAAUUUAUAUAUUUUUUUAAAUAGAAAUAAAAUUCAUUGCAAAUUUAAUAUAUUCAUGAAUUUAAUAAAAUUUAUAAUAUUAUUAAAUUUGUUUGGCCUAAGUUUUUAUAGUUUUUAACCCUUUCAAAUAAAAUUUAUUAUUUUUCUUUGAUAGUAAUAAUAUUGUUUUUCAAAUUCAUUAAUGAUAAUAAUAAUAAUAAUUUUUAAUUUUACUCUUCAAAUCAAAUAUAUGGUUGUUUUUCAAUAUUAAUGAUAUUUUUUUCAAAUUUAUUAAUUAUUAUAUUAAUAAUAUUAACUAUAAUAAAAAUAAUAAUAUUUAUAAUACAAAUAAUAAUAUUAAACUUGUUUGAUUCAAGUUUUUAUAUUUUUUAAUCUCUUCAAAUAAAAUUUAUGGUUUUUCUUCAAUAGUGAUAAUUUUUUUCUUUGAAUUUAUUAAUGAUACAAAUAACAAUAAAAAUAAUAUAAUAAUAAUAAUAUUUCCUCUUUACCCUUCGAGAAAAAAAAUAAGAUAAAAAAAAACACAUUAUAAUAUUGAGUCCUGCUAGUGGCAGGACCAACGCUUUUUGAUGGGCCUUGAUUGCCGCAGAACCGAAAGAUAAUGGGUCUUACAUGACCCAAUACCGAUGGGACCUGGAGGACCCAACGUCAUAGGAUCUUGCUGGCAACAAGACCUCAUGCCAUCGGGUCCAGGUGGUAGCAUGACCUAUCAGCCAAGACGUAAUGUUUGACUUACAAACAACAAAGAUAAUGCAUUUUAAUAUAGUAAAUAAAAAUAUAAUAUAUAAUAAGUAUAAUGUUUUAGAAAUAAUACAAAAUUAUGAAAAUAAUAUUAAUUUGAAGUAAAAAAAAUAAAUAAAUAAAAUUUAAAUUUCUCGGGUCUCGGCUCUUAGCCAAACACAAUCUGAAUAUAUACUUUUUAAGAAAAUAUUAAUAAUAAUAUAUAACUUGUCUGGCUCAAGUUCAUAUAUUUUUUAAUCUAUUCAAAAAAUAAUUAUGGUUUUUCUUUCAUAGUAAUAAUUUUUUUUAAAACUUUAUUAAUGAUGAUGAUAAUAAUAAUUUUUAUGUUUACAAUUCAAAUCAAAUCUAUUGUUGUUUUUCAAUAUUAAAUUUGUUUUUCAAAUUUGUUAAUUACUAUAUUAAUAAUAUUAAUUAUAAUAAAAAUAAGAAUAAUUUUAAUAUUAACAAUAUUAAUUAUAAUAAAAAUAACAACAUUUAUAAUACAAAUAAUAAUAUUUUUAAUAUUUAUAACAAUAUUAAACUUAUCAAAGAGUAAGUGGGUCUGAUUGCAACAUCAGGUCCAAGAGCUUUGCUCCCCUUAUAAAUGUCAGACCCAAGAGUAUUGGAUUUGGUUGCAAUCCGAACCUAUUAAAGCUGCAGCAUCAUUAAGUCAUGCUUGACAUAAUGAACCAACAACUAGGUACCCAUUGUGACCCAACAUCAUUGGGUCAUGCUUAACAGAAGGACCCAAUAGUGUUGGGUCCAGCUAGGCAGUUGAGUCUGGUAGCAGGGCCCACCGUUGCUGGGUCCUAGUUGCAGCAUGUUCCAACUUUAGUGGAUCCUGCUUGCAAGAGCAUUGGGUUGUCUAAAAAGAAAGACCCUUGAGCUUGGGGCCUGUCCUUUCAGCCAAACCCAAGCUUGGCUUCGAACGCCCGACACAAGUAUCUUGAGUCCGGUGCAACUGCAAGACCCAAGAGACUUGGAUCUGCGCUCCUACCUCUCCCAAGCAACUUCAAUCCAGUGUCCCUUUCCGGCCCCAAGUUUCUCGGGUCUGGAAGGGGAUGUCAAACCCAAGUUAAUAAUAAUAGUAAUAAUUUUUAAUUUUAAUCUUCAAAUCAAAUCUAUGGUUGUUUUUCAAUAUUAAUGAUAUUUUUUUCAAAUUUAUUAAUUAUUAUAUUAAUAAUAUUACUUGUAAUAAAAAUAAUAAUAUUAAUAAUAAUUUUAAACUUGUCUAACCCAAGUUUUUAUUUUUUUAAUCUCUUCAAAUAAAAUUUGUGGUUUUUAUUUUAUUGUAAUAAUUUUUUUUCUUUGAAUUUAUUAAUGAUAAAAAUAACAAUAAAAAUAAUAUAAUAAUAUACUAAUAAUAUUUUCUCUUUACCGUGUGAAAAAAAGAGAGAGAAAAAGAUAACACAUUAUAGUAUUGGCCUUUUCGUUCUUGCUGGGGGUAGGACCUAAUGUUUUUUUAGGGGUCUUGCUAGCCGCAAGACCCGAAGCUUAUGGGACUUGCAAGACCAAUAUUGAUGGGUCCUGGACGAUGGCCCACCGCUGCUGGGUAGCAGGGCCCAACAUCAUUGCGUCAUGCUUGGCAAAAAAACCUAGCAACGGUAGGUCCUACUCGUAGGCAGGGCCCACUGCUGUCAUGAGUUUGGUGACACAGACAAACCCAAUCUUAGCAUAAAUGUUUUAAAAAUAAUAUUUUAUGUUGUCAAUUUUUUUUUUGGAGAGCAACUUUUUAGAUUUCAUUUACUUUUUUUGUUAUCAAUUUGGAUGAAUUGAAGCAUUGUUGCUGAAACCAUCAAGCAACAUCAUGAAUUAUAUAUGCCAAUUAGGCCUUUUAAAAAGUUAGGAGCUAAUAAGGUUGAAGAAACAUUCAAUGGUUAUUUCAAGAUAUUUAAGCCUUAUUUCCUACAAGACUUACGGAUUCAACUUAUUUUCCUACUUACACGCGGAUUGGGCUUUAAAUUUUCUUGAUGAUUAUAAAAUCCUUAUUUUAUAUGGAGUUAAAAUAUAAUAGCAAUUAGAUAUUGAUAAAGCCUUACGAUAAAGAUUAAAAACUACUAUACAAUAAUUGCAUUAGUUUUCCAGUUAAUUUAGAAUUUUAUUUCAUUUUAUUUAGAAUUAUUUUGUUAUUUUUUUAGCAUUUCUCAUUUUACCUAGUAUAAAUAUUGUUAUUUAACUUAUAUUUAGUUUUUUUUUAAUAAUUUGAGACGGAUUGAUUAUUUAGAAUAUUAUUGUAUGUGAAAGAGUUUACUCAUAUUCUUGAUUCCUCAUGGAACUUUUUCAAAAACUUAUCAAAGAUCAACUCUUUUUAUGACAUCCAUCCUUAUACCUACAGUUCGUAGUUUGUUAUAAUCAACGGGUUGGGGUCUUAUCCAUAUACCUAUAUUUUUCAGUUUAUUACAAUCAACGGGUUGAGGUUUUAUCCUUUGAAACUUUUUCAAAAACUUAUCAAAGAUCAACUCUUUUUAUGAUAUCCAUCCUUAUACCUACAGUUCUUAGUUUGUUAUAAUCAACGGGUUGGAGUUUUAUCCAUAUACCUACAUUUUUCAGUUUAUUACAAUCAACGGGUUGAGGUUUUAUCCUUAUACCUUUAAUUAGUGGUUCAUUAUAAUCAUUAGGUUAAGUUUUUUCAUCCAAUAACUAUGAUUAUGUAGUUUAGAUAAUCACUAGGUUAGGUUCUUUUCAACUUGAUUUUAGCUUUUUUUUAUUGUUUUUUUUCUUACAUAAGGGUUUUCCUCUCUAAAUUCACAACAACAAUGUAUGUUUAUGUUGAAGUAGAAAUUCAUAUAAUUAUUUAUGGGCAUGAAAAGCCUUUGUAAUAAAACAACUUAAACCUAUUAUGAAAAAAUUCAAAACAAAUCUUGAAAAACCUAAAAAUAGUAAAAAUAACUUAGAUCUAUUGUAAUAAAAACCUAAAAAGCGAGGCCCAUAAGUAAUGUUGAUUUGAACAAGUUUUGAAACAAAAAAGAUUGAACAAGUCAAUCCAAUAGCUUUGAACUGAUUUUGGUUUCAAAACCUUAAAAAACUAAUUUUUUAUUAAAUUGUUUUUUUUUCUAGAAUCAAACUGAAUAAAAAAAACCUUACUGUCAACUCAAAAAACUCAUAACUGGUUUUAAAACAUAAAAUUUAACUUGAAAAAAAAACUUUUCCAGCCCUAAUUUAACCUAAUUUAAUUAGGUCACAGUUGGAUAAUGAAUUUGAAUGUUUUAAAUGGAACAAUUAAGUAAAACUCAAAUCCAACUUAUUUUAUUACCUUCCAUUGAUUAUUAUUAAAUGAGAAAUUCAAACAUGCUUGGUGUGUUUAGCAAAGGAGAAUGACAGAGUUGUACUAUGUACUUUUAAGUGUGGAAAAGUUACAACUCAUAGAAGACCGUUUGGUAGCGCGUUUGCACCUGUAUUUUGCCCAAAUUUGAAUUUUUUUUUUUUGUUAAAAUUGAGUUCGGUUUGUACUUUUUGGAUCAUUUUGAUAUGCUGAUGUCAAAAAUAAUUUUAAAAAAAUAAAAAAACAUCAUUGGCAUGUAUUUUGGCACAAAAAACUAUUUGAAAAGCAACCGCUACCACACUACCAAACACGCUAGGCACCCACUUAGUUGAAAAUAAACAAGAAAUUUUUAGUGUGAUCAAAACACAAGAAAUCAUUUAAUUAAGUUUAUAUUUUUCAUUCCAAUGUUUUUUACUAACAAUGCUGAAAUAUUUGAUGAAAGAUUUUCUCAUAAACUAUUUUUCAAUAUGUAUAAAUUCAACAAUAAAAAAUCUUUUUGGAUAAAAAUUAUUUUUGUGUGAAAAAUUAAAUUCUUUAAAGACUUGAUUAUAUAACUCUAAGUUUAGGCAUCUGAACUUAAGUUUACAUCCAAAAAAAUCUAUUUUGCUCUAAUUUGACAUAGUAGAAAAAUCCUUAUAAUAUCAAAUCUUGACAUAUAUAUUAAAUUCACUAAAUUGUUGUUUAAAUUAUGUUUAUUUUUACGUUUUAAAAAUGUUUUUAAAAAAUUUUGAACUUUUUUUAUUUACUUCAAAUUAAUAUGUUUUUGGUGUUUUUAAAUUAUUUUGAUGCACUGAUAUCAAAAUUAAUUUUUAAAAAUUAAAAAAUAUUUUGAAAAACAAUUACAACUACACUCAAAAUCUUUUAACUAGCAACAAUGAAAAUGAAAAGGAUUCCAACUUUGUGGAACGUGAAGAGGAAGGAAUUGCACACGACAAGAGAACAAAAAACAAAUUAUGGUAAUAAGGUUUAGUUUUCAAUCAAAGAAGAGAGACUGCGAUUUUUAGAGAGAGAAAGUAGGAUAAAGAAGAGAGUGUGGGUGUGUGAUCUAUCAUUCAAUUGGUUUUCUCAUAUAUUAUACAUAAAGACAAUUUGGAUAUUUUAUCAUUUUUUUAAUUUUUAUUUGAUAAAGAAUGUAGAGUAUAAUUUCAAAAAGUAAUAGGGUAAAGUGAAAUAUAAUCAAAUCAUAAGAGUAAGAGGAUUUUUUUUGUAAUUAUUUCUUAAUAAAAGAAGAAACCUAUAAUCCAGAUUCUCGAAAAAAAAAAGAAGGUAAAAAGUGAAGAGUGACUGGGUGACCGUAUGAGUCUUUAAAGGAAAAGAAAAAGGGAUAAAAAUACAAUACUAAAAAAAUAAAAAGAGAGAGAAAUGAAAAAAAUGAAUAUGUUUUUUUCUUUUUCUUUUUCUUUUUUAAAUAAAAAAGCGAAAGGAGGUGUGAAAGCACGUAGGAAAGCAUGUUUAAUGCCAGUUUCUCGAACCUACUGGUAUUUAGAUAAUGAGAAUGAUGUUUUUGUCAUCACCAUCGAAAUUUCCAUGUCAUCGUUGACGUAUGAUAAUUCCCUAAGCGUGCUGUGCAAGUAACUUAAAAGGAACCAUCCCAGUUUGUACCAAUAAAUACUAAAUAGCAUUUGGAAUCCGCAAUUGUUCUAGUCUUUUGAGUAGUUCAUCACUUAACAAUGGCCAACGAAGACGUUUCGCACGACCUUUCAUCCCUUCUUUCGUCGGAAGAGAGGGACUUUCUCAUCCGCAACAAUGGUGACCAGGUACUGCUUUUAGCUUAUGGAUUUCUCUGGUCUUAUGCGAUCUACUUCUACUUGUCUUAUUAAACUUGCAGGUUUUUCUCGUAAUUAGGAUGGAUAUCAUGUUUAAAUUAGACUGCGAACCUUGCUCAAGAACAAGUUUAUGACCAAUUUCUAGAGCUUUUAUGAUUCAGAAAAGCCUCAAUUUUUGUUUACCCUCUUGAUUUAUGGGCUAAUUUUUUUUUUUUCUGAUUAUGCUCGACACUAAUUUUUAGGUUACGGUCAGCAAUUUGGUUGGGAAGAUUGUGGGAUUCUAUUUCUCUGGUUCGUGGUGCGGGCCGUGCCGCAAUUUCACUCCGUUGUUGGUAGAAGUCUAUGAACAGCUAUCAUCCAAAGGGGACUUCGAGGUGGUCUUCAUUUCUUCUGACGGAGACGAUGAAUCCUUCAACACAUACUUCUCCGAAAUGCCAUGGCUUGCUAUUCCCUUCUCUGAUACGGAGACCCGCCAACGUCUUCAGGAAUUGUUCAAAGUAAGAGGGAUCCCUAAACUCGUCAUUUUUGAUACUAAUGGUAAGGUUUCCUGCGAUAAUGGAGUCAGACCUGUCAAGGAACAUGGCGUGGAUGGGUAUCCGUUCAACCUUGAUAGACUGAAUUUCCUUAAAGAGCAAGAAGAGAAUGCUAAGAAGAAUCAAACCAUAAGCUCUAUCUUGGUUUCCAGCUCACGUGAUUAUGUGAUUUCAAAUGAUGGAAAAAAGGUAGAUGUUUCAUUCAAUUAGCUAGUUUUGAAAUUGAAUUGAUGAUGCCAUAAUUCACAUUUUUGCUAUCUGUAAUGGCAGAUCCCUGUGUUGGACCUUGAAGGAAAAUUGGUUGGCUUGUAUUUUUCAGCCCAUGCUCAUAGGAUGUGCCGUGAAUUCACUCCUAAACUAGUGGAAUUGUAUAAGACGCUCAAGGAAAAAAGAGAGAACUUUGAAGUAGUCCUAAUAUCUCUAGACGACGAAGAAGAAGACUUCAAAGAGAGUUUUGAGACAAUGCCUUGGUUGGCAUUGCCUUUUAAGGACAAGAGCUGCGAGAAGCUAGCGCGGUAUUUUGAACUUAGAACCAUUCCUAAUCUUGUCAUAAUUGGCCAAGAUGGGAAGACUUUGAACCCAAAUGUAGCUGAACUGAUCGAAGAACAUGGUAUUGAAGCCUACCCAUUUACACCGGAAAAGCUUGACGAGCUAGCUGCAAUUGAAAAGGCAAAACUGGAAUCGCAGACGCUUGAGUCAGUUUUGGUUAAUGGGGAAAAUGAUUUUGUGAUUGACAAAAGUGGCUCCAAGGUAAUUGUUUUUGUUCUAUGCUAACCUCGCAUGUUGUUACCGCAUUACUUUCAAUAACUUUCUUAUGAUCACGAAUUGAAUUCAUUAGCAAAGGUUUUUUUUUUUUUUUUAUCAUUCCAAUGGUUUACUCUUGAUUAGGUCCCAGUGUCUGAACUAGUUGGAAAGAACAUUCUUCUUUACUUCUCAGCUCAAUGGUGCCCUCCAUGUCGUGCCUUUUUACCCAAGCUAAUUGAAGCAUACCACACAAUUAAAAGAAAAGACAAUGCAUUUGAGGUGAUCUUCAUCUCAAGUGACAGAGAUCAAUCCACCUUUGACGAGUUCUAUUCAGAAAUGCCUUGGUUAGCCCUUCCAUUUGGUGAUGGAAGGAAACAAAUCCUGAGUCGGAAAUUCAAAAUUCAAGGCAUUCCUGCAGCUGUAGCGAUUGGCCCAAGUGGCCGGACCAUUACCAAGGAAGCUCGGAUGCACCUGACAGCUUACGGGGCAGAUGCUUUUCCAUUUACCGAGGAACAUCUAAAGCGAUUGGAGGAGGAGCUUGAGGAAAAGGCAAAGGGGUGGCCAGAGAAAGUGAAACACGAACUUCAUACUGAGCAUGAGCUGAUACGUACUAAACGCAGUGCAUAUGGUUGCGAUGGCUGUGGGGAAACGGGAUAUCGGUGGUCUUUCUAUUGCAAUCAAUGUGACUUUGAUCUUCACCCCAAGUGUGCUCUGAAGGAAGAUGAAGAUGCUGGAACUGAAAAGGGAAAGGAAGGAUGGGUCUGCGAUGGAGAUGUGUGCCGCAGAGCUUAAGCAGGCAAGCGCUGCUUGUGUCUGGUUUUAUGGGCUUUCUGCUGUAUUAAGUAUGCAAUGGAAGAUGUUUGUUGCAUGUGUGUGAAUAUAGUGGGGAUGUCUCUCCUGUUAUCGUUAUGUAUCUAAGAUGUGUGAAGCUGAAGGGUUUUCAUGUCCUGUAUUUGGAUACUAAAAAUAAAUAAACAGCUCUGUGUGUUUAUGCGAAUCCUGUGACCCAUUUGGAACUUGGGAAAAUCCAUGGUUGAUGGUUGUUCUCAAAGCUCAAUCACUUGUUAUGAGGUUUUUGUCAUUCCUAAACGAAAAUGCUGUGCAUGAUGCCAUUGUGCCGCUCUCUUUGUUUCUAUUUGGCUGGGUGAAGAAACAGCCUCACCUCUGGAGCAAAUAUUCCUGUUAUUGUAUUGCUGAUUAAAUACAAAAACUGGGCUGAUUGUGACUUAACCAACAUUAUACAAUGAAACCAUUGUAACUCCACCGUAAAAGAAACAAGAAUUUCCAAUCCAAGCAACUGGAUAGUCAUUUCCCCCCCUCGUUGCCUUCUCACAUUACUUGUUGAGACGGAUUUCAGAAUCAAGAAAGCAGCAUUAAUUCGAACUCAGAACUAAGAAAGACAAAUGAAAUCCCAGCAGGUGGAAACUGGGUUCAUGGCAGUUAUUUGGAGGGUGGACACCUGCGUUUGUUGAUGAACAUGUCUGCAAUCAAUGAAAACCAGAACCACGGGCAGGCUAUUGCCUGUAUCAGUUCAUGGGACGCAAAGGACAGAUAGGAUUAGUGGUGAGCUUGGAGAAGUUAGCAAAGCCAACAACUACACCUCGCAGAACAGGAAAAGAUUUCCGUAAAUUUAAUGCUUUUCUACAAGAAUGUUUGGUUGCCUAUUUUUAAAAAAAAAAAAUUAUAUAAAUAACUUCUGGGUUGGCAUAGACACCUCAGGUUUUGGCACAGCUGCAAAAAACAAGUUGGAACUCUUACAUCCCUAUUGGUAGGUGAUGGAUUAUAAAUAAGGUUUAGUUUUGGUACUUUGACAUCCCUCGUGGACAAAACGAUUCUGAAUGGUUGAUAAUUUGGAAUGAAAGAUUUUCAGUACAAUUAUCAACACUCAACAAACUAGUAAUACCCUAUUAAUUCAUAACUAACUUGGAAAAAAAAAUUAAAUAUAAAAUUAUUGGAUCAAUCUGUAUAUUUUUUAUAUUAAAACAAUAACGUUUUAUUUUAUUUUUAUUUAAUCUUUACAGGAUAAUCACUCAGUUGAUUUAACCAUGUUAUUAAAAGAAUUUAAUUAAUAUAUUAUUUGAUUUAAUUAAAAUCUCAAAAAUUAUUAUACUUGAUAUCUUAAGUUUUUGAGACCAAUGAUUUCUACAUAGUGGUACAAUUAGCAUACUCUGCUCAUUGCAUUACAACAACAUUUUAAAAAUAAAAUGUUAAAAUUAAGAAUAAUUAAUUUUGAAAUUUUAUGUGAACAAUAAUUGUGUGGGGGUGUCAAUAGCAUCAUAUUUGUUUCCUGAAGUAAAUUAUAAUUGAAUCCUCAUAUUUUCCAUAAACCAAUAUGUUAGCCCUUCUGUUUUUUAAAAAACUAAAAGGCUACUCAAUUGAGAAGCUUCGACCGUCAAGCCGUUAUUAGAUAUUCUUUUAUACUAAUACCUAAAGUAACGGUUUAGCACUUUUAUAAUGUAAAACUAAAGGAAGAACUAAGGAGGUAAAAUAUGGCUUCUUUUAAAUAAAGGGAGUGAGCUAUUAAUUUCUUAAAACUAUAGGGACUACGUUAUAAUUUGAUCAAUUUGUUAUGAUGAAUUUAAAGUGCCACACGUGAUUUUUUUUUUUAAUUAAUGUGGGUGUCCGGACCAGCUUGCGCACACCUUAACUAAUCCAACGGGUCCUGAAAUUAACGACCAUGUAAGCCUACAGUUAUCAUCAUAUGAGCAACUACAGGGCUCCUGAGAUCACAAAGGGAAUAAACCUUUUAGUCCCAAGCUCUUAUAACUAGGACACUUUCUAGAUGGUUGUCACACGUUAUUUAAUUCUACAUGGUUUGGUUUUGUGUUUGCCAAUUAAUGAUCAUCAUGUUUCAUGAUGUGACAAAUAGAUUAAAAAUAUGAUGAAUGGAGCCAAACAUUAUUGGUUUUAAAUUUAAAAUUUUUUUAGUGUGUUUGAAUUUUUUUAAUAUAUUAAAUUUAAAAAUAAAUUUUUAAAAAUUAAUAUAUAUAUUUGAGUAAAAAUUAUUUUAAAACUCAACCUCUAUUAUAUUUUUAAACAUACCCUAUCAUUAGUAGUUGAGUCUUACCCUUAAUGUUUUCCAUGGAAUCUAUUAUUAUAGUCUUACAGCGUAUGUGCAAAGAUAAGGAAUAUCAUGAUAGGCAGUAAAAAAAAAAAAAAAAAAACUCUUACUAAUAUUAUAAAAACUAUGUUAUAAUUUUAUCUGAAAAUAAAAUAAAAAUUAAAUGAUAUCUAAUAAAAUAAUAUCUCAUAUAUAUUCUUAAUAACUUAAGUAUCUACUAAAAUAACAGCCUUGAUGUGUUUUUAAAUAAUUAAUUUUAACGAAAUAAAACUAAAACUCAAGGAUAAAAAUUCAAAAAUAAAAAUUCAAAUAAAAUAAAAACAAGCCAUGUUUGUGGGGCCAGGUGACUCCGCAUGCUUAUCCAAAAUGAAAGAGCCAUUUUAUUUUUUCUUUGAUAAAUGACAUAUCAUUUAUCCUUUUGAUUUUUAAAGUAAAACAAAUGACACAUGAUUGGUUACUCAAUUUUUUUUUGUCAUGGAGAAGUGGUUGAAGAAUUGGGUUAGAGUUUUUUUUUUUAUCUAAAAUUAUAUAUUUUUUAAUUUGUUUUUAUCUAUUGUCUCUAAACUAGUCCAUCAUCUAAAAAAAAAACCCUAAAAUAAUUUUAAAAUACAAAGUUUAACCUAAAAGCAAUUCUCUCAACCUCGAUUUAUCUUUUUUUGGCAAUAUAAAGCUAAAAACACAUUAUGGUAGCAUUCUUCUUGUCAAGAAGAAUACAUUGACACACAUUUUAGCUAUUUUUGCAAACAAAACCUUGUCAAUGUAUGUAUUUCUUCUCCUUUGUUAUUUUCAAUGAAUGUUUUUUUUUUUCUAAAACUCAAAACUAAAAUGUGAUUAAAAUAAAGUUUUAGAUCAAAACAUAAAUUUUUAAAGUAAAAUAGCGUGAAAUGAACAUUUCUCAAAUAAAAAAACCAUAAAUUCUUGCUACUUGUUAAUUUUGGCUCCCCAAGUCCUUAAUUUUUAUAUACAAUAAAAUAGGAUUCUAUUUUGUAAAAUCAAACAUAACUCUAAUGUAAAGACAUUUAAUUUUCCAAAAAAAAAAUUAUAGAAAACCAACCAAUAAGUCAAAUCCUCCAUUAAUAAAAUGUCAAAAAUUGAAAAAAUUUAAAAAGUGUUUGGUGACUAUAAUGAAAAAAAUUUCGAAGAAAAAACUAGAACACUAUUUUAAUCUGUGAUGUUUUGAGUUUUUGUCCACAGUGCAACAACACUAAACUAACCACAUCUCUUAGUUUUAUAUUUAAUUUAUUUUUAGAUUUUUAUGAUUCAUAAAUGAGGGAUUAUUUUAUUUUGUUAGCUUAGGUUUUAUUUUUAUAAAAUUAAUUAAAAAAUAGAUUAGGAUAUCUAGUGGAUAACCACAAAUGAAGAAAGUCAUCUACUUAACCGGAUUUAGAGCUCGUUUGUUUCUGAGACAACAUUUACAUUUCUUUUAAACACACUAAUAAUGGUGUUUGAUUACCGAUUGAAAGUAAUACAUAAAUUAUAGACCCCAUCAUUUAUAUGAGGCAGCACCUUAAUUAUAAAAAAUAUUUUUUUUUAUUGAACUUUCUUACAUGAUAGAGUAUUGCAUUUAAAAACUCUUUCUUUCUCCCCUCAAAAUAUAGGGUCUCUUUAUUGAAAUAGAGUCAUGAUGUGGCUCAAAUACACAAUAUAAAUUUAUUUAUAAUUAUUAAAUAUAUGCAAUAUCAUUAUUUUUAAAAUAAAAAAGAAAUCCAGAGUUUUAUUAUUGAAAAACUCCAUUCUUGAAAAUAUAACUAAAAAUUCUAUCAAAGUUUAGAUUUUAACUUGUCUAUUAAAUUGUAUGUAAUUAUUAUCAAGUCAUAUUUUAUAGAAAAUAAACUAGGCUAAAAAUCUAAUCCAAAAUUCUCUCGAUGUCUUUGAGAAUUUAAUUAGCAUAUGAAUUUUAUUGAGGUCUGUGUUAAAUGUUUUUUUUUUUUUCUGAGACUUAAGGAGCUUUGGAUGACUGGAGCUGGAGGUACAUUUUCAUGAUUUAUUUUUCUCAAUAAUUUUUUUUUACAGUCUUGGCCUUCAUCCUUUCCUAAGCUUCCUAUGUAAGAUGCCACGUAUAUAGUUUCUUUGCUCGUUCAUUUCAACUAUGCUUUACAUAUGAUGAUUGAUUUAUAUUAGAAAAAAAAAAUGAUAGAAAAAUUCAUUUCCAAAUGCAGCAAAACCAAAAGAGAAUAAUUUUCUAAUUAAAAAAACUAAUUAAGGAUUUUUUGUAUCAAGAAAUAUAAAGAUUUUAUUAAAGAGAUAAAAAUAAAAAAUAUAUUUAAUAACAAACUCACAAAAAAAUUAUCAAACCAUGGAUAAAACUAAAAAAAAAGGAGAUUAAUAAAAAAAACAUGUUUAAAAAAGAAGAAGCAAGAGGAGAUUUAUAGAAGCAGGUGAUCAUGCGAAUGCCACUUCAUCGGGCCUACGUCAUAAUGUCUUCGUCAUCACCCGUCACCAGCCACGCCUUGAAGCGUCGUUGUCUGAUUAGAAUAAUAAUUUCCUAGGUCGGUCGUGCAGGUAAUUUAAAGGAGCCUUAGCCUGGAAGUUCUAUCACAUAGCAACUGGGAUUGGCAAUUGUUCUAGCCUUUUGAGUAGUUCAUCACAUAGCUAGCUAUGGCCACCGAAGACGUUUCUCUCGACCUUUCAACGCUUCUUUCUUCAGCAGAGAGGGACUUUCUCAUCCGCAACAAUGGUGAUCAGGUACUGCUUCUCUGAUCUUAUUCAAGUCUUCUUCCUGUCUUAUUAUAAGUUGACGUCUUUUAAUUUUUAUAUGAACUUGUAGGUUUUUCUCGUAAUUAAGAUGAAUAUCAUGUUUAAAUUAGACUGGUAGCCUUGCUUAAGAACAAAUUUAUGACCAAUUUCUGAAGCUUUUUAUGAUUAAGAAAAAGCUCCCUUUUUUUUGUUGCUUCUCUCACUGGCAAGAGAAAGAAACCAUGAAUAAAAUUUUGAUUCGUUAAGGGCAGAUGUUUUUUUCUGAUAAUGUUCGAGAUUAAUUUUUAGGUUAAGGUCAGCAAUUUGGUUGGGAAGAUUGUGGGGUUCUACUUCUCUGGUUCGUGGUGCGGCCCAUGCCGUAAUUUCACUCCUUUGUUGGUAGAAGUCUAUGAACAGCUAUCAUCCAAAGGGGACUUUGAGGUGGUCUUCAUUUCUUCUGACAGAGAUGAUGAAUCCUUCAACACAUAUUUCUCCGAAAUGCCAUGGCUUGCUAUUCCCUUCUCUGAUACGGAGACCCGCAAACGUCUUAAGGAAGUGUUCAAAGUAAGAGGGAUCCCUAAUCUUGUCAUAAUUGGCCAAGAUGGGAAGACUUUGAACCCAGAUGUAGUUGAACUCAUCGAAGACCAUGGAAUUGAAGCCUACCAUUUACACCGGAAAAGCUUGAUGAGCUAGCUGCAAUUGAAAAGGCAAAACUGGAAUCGCAGACGCUUGAGUCAGUUUUGGUUAAUGGGGAAAAUGAUUUGUGAUUGACAAAAGUGGAUCCAAGGUAAUUUUUUUUCUGCUAACAUCGCAUGUUGUUAUUGCAUUACUUUCAAUAACUUGCUUAUUAUCUCGAAUUGAAUUCAUUAGCAAAGGAUUUUUAUCAUUCAAAUGGUUUACUCUUGAUUAGGUCCAGUGUCUGAUCUAGUUGGAAAGAACAUUCUUCUUUACUUCAGCUCAAUGGUGCCCUCCAUGUCGUGCCUUUUUACCCAAGCUAAUUGAAGCAUACCACACAAUUAAAAGAAAAGACAAUGCAUUUGAGGUGAUCUUCAUCUCAAGUGACAGAGAUCAAUCCACCUUUGACGAGUUCUAUUCAGAAAUGCCUUGGUUAGCCCUUCCAUUUGGUGAUGGAAGGAAACAAAUCCUGAGUCGGAAAUUCAAAAUUCAAGGCAUUCCUGCAGCUGUAGCGAUUGGCCCAAGUGCCGGACCAUUACCAAGGAAGCUCGGAUGCACCUGACAGCUUACGGGGCAGAUGCUUUUCCAUUUACCGAGGAACAUCUAAAGCAAUUGGAGGAGGAGCUUGAGGAAAAGGCAAAGGGGUGGCCAGAGAAAGUGAAACACGAACUUCAUUCUGAGCAUGAGCUGUUACGUACUAAACGCAAAACAUAUAUUUGCGAUGGCUGUGGGGAAACAGGAAAUAGUUGGUCUUUCCAUUGCAAAGAAUGUGACUUUGAUUUCACCCCAAGUGUGCUUUGAAGGAAGAUGAAGAUACUGGAAGUGAAAAGGGAAAUGAAGGAUGGAACUGCGAUGGAGAUGUGUGCCGCCGAGCCUAAGCAGGCAAGCGCUCCUUGUAUCUGGUUUUAUGGGCUUUCUGCUGUAAUAAGCGUGCGAUGUAAGGUGUUUGUUGCAUGUGUGUGAAGAUGUGGAUGUCUUUCCUGUUAUUGAUAUGUAAUUAAGAGGUGUGUUGCUUAAGGAUUUUCAUGUCCUGUAUCUCGAUACGAAGAAUAAAUAACCUGAUUGGCUAAGUUUAUGUGAAUCCUGUGACCCUUUUGAAACUUGGGAAUCCAUGGUUGCUGGUUGUUCUCAAAUCUCCAUCACUAGUUAUGAGGUUUCGUCAUUCCUAAAUGAAAAUGUUAUGCAUGAUGCCAUUGUGCCGCUCUCUGUGUUUCUAUUUGGCUGAUGAAGAAACAACUUUACCUCUGGAGCAAAUAUUUCGAUACCAAACUGGUUUUGUUUAAACUCUCAACCCAAUUCAAUUAUGAAAGGUUUUUUUUUUUUUGUCUGAGAAUCCCUAAUUUGCUUCCUCUCUCCUGUAGCCACAACCACCCUCUCUUUUCUCUGAAAGAUAUCGAAACUUAGCGGUGAUCUCUUCGCUCUCAAAAUUUCUCGCAACUUUCUCACCUCCCUCUUUGUUGUUGGUCUCUUUUUUAUUUUUGUCUCCUCUCCAUCUCUAGUGUAAUGUAGCCUCUCUUCUCUCUAUUUCUUUCUAUUUUUCUUAGCUUUAUUUAUUGUUAUAGAAUAAUAAAUUAUAACAUGUUUAUUUGUUAUUUGGCAAGGAUUCAAUGUUCACAAUAACUCAGAUGUUUGACAAAGCCGAUUUAUAUUAUUUAGCAGAUUUGAUAAGAUUUAUUGUCUCCUAUAUGUAUUAUUAACUGUGACCUAAUAAUUUACAUGUUAUGUUUCAAAGACACAGAAGUUUGAGGUGUUGGUUCUUAUUUCGUUGCAUGUCAAGCUCAAUAUAUUUCUCCUAACAUGUUUAUUUGUUACUUGGCAUGGAUCAUUUUUUAUGGCUUAUAUUGUCUUUUUUAUGUAGAUGUGAACAAGUUAUUUCAAAGGAAAAAACUAUAUUGACUCCUUAAUUGUGAAAUUGGAAAUUAGGGAGAUAAUUGUUGUGAUAAUUCAUGGGCGAUCAUGUAAGCAAAUGUUAUAGGAAGCUUGCUGAUUUGGAUUUGUAAUAAUACAUGCAUCGAAGUGCUAGAAAGGCCACAUAAUCUUUGCCCUUUCCUAGGCUUCAUGUGCAAGAUCCCGUGUAUAUAAGUUAAUUGUAAGUUCAUUUAAACUAGGCUUUACAAAUGGUGAUUCAUUUGUAUUAAGAAAAAAUGAAAUAAAAAUUCAAUUUCAUAUAUAAUCCAUCACCUAUUUAAUAGUGUGAUGUAAGAGUAAGAGUUCAUCUUGUUUAUGAUCCAUCACCUAUCAAUAGUGAUGUAAGAGUUCCAACUUGUUUUCUACAGCUGUGCCAAAACCUAGGGGGGUCUACGCCAGCCCAGCAGAGUCCUUCCCCCGUCGUAGGUGGUCCAUACGACCAGAGAUAGUAAGUGAUUUCAGAACAUGCCUUUUCGAAAUGUGAUCAAAAUAAAAUUUUGGAUUAAAAUAUAAAAUUUUCAAAGUAAAAUGGUGUGAAAUCAACAUUUCUCAAAUAAAAAAAAACCUUAAAUUAUUGCUAACAAUCAAUUUUGCCCCCUAAAUCUUAAAUUUUUUGUACGCAAUAAAAUACGAUUUAUUUUGUAAAAUCCAAAUAUCACCCUAAUGUAAAAACAUUUAAUUUUUCCCUCACAUAGAAGAUUAUAAAAAAACCAACCAAUAAGUCCAAAUUCUUGAUUAAUAAAAAUGUCAAAAGAUGAAUUUAAAAAAAUUAAUUAUAUUAUAAUGAAAAACAUUCAAAGAAUAGGACUAGAACAUUGUUCCAAUCCAUGAUAUUUUGAAUUUUUUGUCCAUGGUGCAACAAAACUAAACUAACCACAUCUUUUAGUUUUUUAUUUAAUUUAAUUUUAUAGUUUUAUGAUUCAUGAAGGAGGAAUUAAUUUAUUUUUUAGAUUAGGUUUUAUUUUUAUAAAAUUAAUUAAAAAAUAAAUUAGAUAGGAUAUCUAGUUGAUACCCACGAAUAAAGAAAGUCAUAUACUUAACCUGACUUGAUUAAAAAAAUUAACGAAUUUGAACAUUCGAGAGUGGAAAUUCAUUAUCUUCCUUUACUUACAAUUAUGACAAAUUGAAAUACGUCUAGAGUGUUUGAUAAAGGAUGAUGACAUAUAUGUAUAGUGCACUUUUGAGUGUGGGAAAGUCCCGUCUCAUGACAGAGUAUUGCAUUUAAAAUCUCUUUCUUUCUUCCUUGGAAAUAUAGCAGGGGUGAUUAAAAAAAAAUUGAAAAACUAAUUAAAUUAAAAAAAUAAUUUUUUUUGAAAAAACUGAACCGAGAAAAAAUAAAUUAAUUAAUUAAAAUAUUUUUAAAAAUAUCUGGUUUGAUUUUGAUUUUUUAAGUCUAAAACCGAAAAAAUAAACUGAAAUUAAUAAAAAAACCAAACUGAAAAAACUUAAACCAAACCUAUUAAAAAUUACAAAAAAAAACCCCUAAAAAUAAUAUAGUUUUUGGUUUUUAAUAUAGAUGUUUUGAUUUUACCAAAACCAAAACCGAACGAACCAAAUCCGAUCGGAUGGGUUUUGAUUUUUAAAAAAAAAAAAAUACAGUUUGGUUAUUUUUAUAGGUAAAAACCUAACCGAACUAAAAAUAAUCACCCUUGAAAUAUACAAAAAAACAUUUUAUUGAAAUAAAGUGGCUAAAAUACACUAUAUAAUUUUAUUUAUAAUUAUUAAAUAUAUGUAACAUCAUUAUUUUUAAAAUUAAAAGGAGUUGAGAGUUUUACUAUUAAAAAACUUUAUCUUGAUAGAAGGAUAAUAAGGUCUUUAGAAAGUUUGUAUCGUAGCAUACUUAUUAAAUUAUAUGUGAUUACCAUCAUGUCAAAGUAACAUAAAGAUUUUAUUAAAGAGAUAAAAAUACAAAAUAUAUUUAAUAACAAACUCACAAAAACAAAAUAUCAAACCAUGGAUAAAACUAGAAUAAAAACAUAAAAAAAGGAGAUUAAAAAAACAUUAGAAUAUUUUAAACUGAUUAGAAUAUUUUAAAAAAUAUCCAGUUUGAUUUUGAUUUUUUAAGCUUGAAACUAAAAAAUCAAACCCAAAUUAAUAAAAAAAAUAAACCAAAAAAACCGAAACAAAACUCAUUAAAAAUUACAAAAAAAACCCUAAAAACAAUAUAGUUUUUUGUUUUUAAUAUAAAAUAAUCAAACCAAAACCGAAUCAAAUCAAACCCGAAUGGUUGGAUUUUGGUUUUUUUUUUUUGUAUUUUUCAAAAUUUCAAUUUGGUUAUUUUUAUAGGUAAAAACCAAACCAAACUAAAAAUGAUUACUCUAGAAUAUAAAUUUUUUUUUGUAUUGAAAUAGAGUGGCUAAAAUACACUAUAUAAUUUUAUUUUUAAAUAUUAAAUAUAUGUAACAUCAUUAUUUUUAAAAUUAAAAGGAGUUGAGAGUUUUACUAUUAAAAAACUUUAUCUUGAUAGAAGGAUAAUUAAUAAGGUCUCUAAUAAGUUUGGAUCUUAGCCUACUUAUUAAAUUACAUGUGAUUACCAUCGUGUCAAAGUGAAAUAAAGAUUUUAUUAAAGAGAUAAAAAUACAAAAUAUAUUUAAUAACAAAAUCACAAAAAAAUUAUCAAACCAUGGAUAAAACUAGAAUAAAAAUAAAAAUAAAAAGAGAUUAAAAUAAACACCUCUCUGCGCAAGAAAUGAUAUAUUCUGUUAAAGACAAUCCUUCCCGUAGAUUGCUUUGAAUGGGUAAAUCAAUCAUUUGUCUUUGUGGAUCCGACAUUAAUCCUCUUAUACCUACUAAUUGGUGUACUUGAGAUGUAUUUCCCUAGCUCCCGAAAAGGACAUUAUAUGGACUUGAUUAUAGGGUUUUGUCAUUCUAAAAUUCAGAUUCAUUUCUUGUCGCAAAUAUUCACUUGUAGCAUACUAUAUCUUAAUAAAUUGACGUAAUUUUUCUAUCGCGUAUACAUUUUUAUAAUGAUGGUGUUUUUUCAAAAUCAAACUUUGUUGUUCAGCAUCUUGGACUAGCCAUCCUUUUGAAGAUAUUGUUAAAAGAUCAUCAAUUCCUAAUGAAAUAGAUGUAGCAGUGGUAUGUGAAUCCUGUGACCCAUUUGAAACUUGGGAAUCCAUGGUUGAUGGUUGUUAUGAGGUUUUUGUCAUUCCUAAACGAAAACGCUAUGCAUGAUUGCAUUGUGCCGCUCUCUUUGUUUCUAUUUGGCUGGAUGAAGAAACAGCUUCACCUCUGGAACAAAUAUUCCUGUAAUUGUAAUGCUGAUUAAAUACAAAAACUGGGCUGAUUGUGACUUAACCAACAUUAUACAAUGAAACCAUUGUAACUCCACCGUUAAAGAAACAAGAAUUUCCAGUCCAAGCAACUGGAUAGUCAUUUUUACCCCUCUCUGCCUUCUCACAUUACUUGUUGAGACGGAUUUCAGAAUCAAGAAAGCAGCAUUAAUUCGAACUCAGAAGUAAGAAAGACAAAUGAAAUCCCAGCAGGUGGAAACCUGCGUUUGUUGAUGAACAUGUCUGCAAUCAAUUAAACCAGAAACACGAGCAGGCUAUUGCUUGUAUCAGUUCAUGGGACGCAAAGGACGGAUAGGAUUAGUGGUGAGCUUGGAGAAGUUAGCAAAGCCAACAACUACACCUCGCAGAACAGGAAAAGAUUUCCGUAAAUUUAAUGCUUUUCUAUUUGCUUAAUUCUCGUGACACCAUAUUAUUUGAUGCCUCAAAAGAACGAAAAUAUCAUCCGUGUGAUACAUCCAAAAUUCAAGCAAGCACACUGCCAAGAAAUUCAAUUCGGCGACGUUUCAAUCAAGCACGCUGCCAUAAAGUUUGAAGCCAUUGAAAAAACCUUUGGUUCUAUGGUCCAUUAAUUAUGUUCAGCUUAUUUACUCUUUCAUGUUCUCGCAGUUUCUUCUUUUUGCCACGUUCCAUGGCUUCCCACCACUGAAUCUCAUGUGCUUUAAAUUUGCCUUCGCCAUGACAGCCACAAAACCUUAUCGAUUGUUGCAGUCUGAAAACUGUUUGUUAUUGUGGUUACUGUUGUGGUUUUAAGAAAAUUAUUUUGUAAAAAUAUUUUUAGUUGAGGUUGGUUUAGAAAAAUAUAUAUUUGAUUAAAAAUAUGGUUAAAAUUGAGGUUGAACAAAAAGUAGUUUAAUGUGUUUGGUUAAAAAAAUGUUUUUCAAAUUGAGGUUAUAAAAUAAUUAAAAAAUAUUUUUAAUUUAAAUAUUGUAGAUUUAACUACUAUUACUACAUCAUGAAAUAAAUAAUAUUUAUAUCAAAUAUUUUUUAUUAUUCCAUUAAACUAUAUGCAAUGUCAUCACAUACAAAUCUAUCCAACAAUGACUAUAUUUUUCAUGGUUUCUUAAGCACGCAACAACAAAAAUUGGAUUUUUUGUAAUGUCAUCAAGCGAUAUCCUUCUAAUUUUUUCAAUAAAACACAAUUAAAAUAAAAAUAAAAACUGAAUUUUUUUAACUGGGUCAGACCCGGCAGGAACAUAAUUGGAAUUGCGAUUAAAUUUCACAAAUGUUAUGUCAUCAUGCGAUAUUCUUCUAAUUUAUAUAGUGUUAUUAAAUAAUAUUAAAUACUAGUUUUUCGAGUAAAACUAAAUUUUUUAAAAAAAAAAAUUACAAUUUCAUUACGUACAAAAUUCAUUCGACAAGAACUACAGUUUAAUGAUUUUGUGAGCGUGCAAUAAAAUUAGAUAAAAUAUUAUCGGGAAUAAAAUUAAGAUUACAGUAUGAGUAAAUUUAAUUCACCUUUAACUAUUUUUUUAACAAAAAAAAAUAUAUUGUUCAUCUGAAUAGUGCGAGUGAAAUUAAUUAAUUGCACUGGUUUUUCAGGGAAAAAAAAACCCAAACAUUGCAUGUGAACAGUGCAAGUGAAUUAAUUCACUCACACUGGUUUUUUGAAAUUAAAAAAAAAAUUGUUCAUUUUAGUGAACAGUGGAGCCAUGCUCCAUUGUUGAUGUUAAUUUUCAGACGAGCAGCAGCUUCUCAGAAACCUAUUCAGAUGAACAAUAUAUUUUAAAAAAAAUGGAGCAGGUGAAUUAUUUUAAUCUGCUUUUUAAUCUGCUACAGUGCAUGCAAAGCAGGUUUUCAUAGCUUUUCCUUUCCAGUGUUUUAAACGCAAAAAACACGUGGGUCCCAUGCACAGUAAAAUAAUUUUUGUUAUUACCAAACGGCUGCGGACUGCGUUUUAAAUAAAACGCAUCCGCAGCCUCUUAGACAAACACCCUUUAAGUGGGUCCUACAAAAAAAACUAUUUUUUCUUACCUUACCAAACAUUAAUAGUUGUGGUUGCGGGUGAACCUCACCCGUGGCCACAAUACCAAACAUCCACUUACUAUCUCUGGCCAUCUCGUGUAUGGACCCCUCUACGAUGAAGGAAGGGCACUGUUGGGCUCUUCCCUUACAACGGGGGAAGUCGGAAGGACACUGUUGGGCUAGUAUAAACCCUCCAGGUUUUGGCAUAGCUGCAGAAAAAAAUAAUUUAAAAAAAAUAAAAAAAAAAUAUAUUAUUUUAAUAUAUUUUAGUAUGAAAAGCAUUUUGAAAAAUAAUUGUAAUCAUAUUCCCAAACAAAUAUAAAAUUAAAGGAAAAACAAAUAUAAAACUAAAAGAAGAACUAAGUUAUAGUAAAUGGAAAUGAUGACAUGGAGGUAAAAUAUGGCUUCUUUUAAAUAAAGGGAGUGAGCUAUUGAUUUCUUAAAAAUAUAGGGACUACGUUAUAAUUUGAUCAAUUUGUUAUGAUGAAUUUAAAGUGUAACACGUGAUUUCUUUUUUUUUUUUUUUUUUUAUAACUCGAGAUGUCUGGGCUAGUUUAUGCGCAUCACGACUAAUCCCCGGACUCACCGAACAUCCUGCAAGCCCUGUAAGUAGGUAAGGUACCGCGGGGUGACAAGCGUGCACAAGCAAGACUUGAACCCUGGUAUAAAGGAAGAACACAAGGCCCUUCCACUGCUGGGCUACAAGCUCAAGCGUGUAACACAUGAUUUCUAAAUGGUGGUGUUGGUGUUGUGUUUGCCUAUUAAUGAUCAUGAUCAUGAUGUUUCAUGAUGUGACAAAUAUAUUAAAAAUAUGAUGAUUUUGUUUAUAGUUAAAGCCGUGAAAUAUUAUUUGUUUAAAAUUUAUUUUUUUUUAAUGUUUUUAAUUUUUAUUUAAUGUAUUGAUGUUAAAAAUAUUUUUUUAAAAAUUAAUAUAUAUAUAUAUAUAUUAAUAUAUUUUUAUAUAAAACAUAUUUUAAAACUUAACCUCUUUUAUAUUUUUAAACAUACCCUUAGUCAAUUGUCAUUUAGUAGUUGAAUCUUACCCUUAAUGUUUUCCAUGGAAUCUAUUAUUAUUGUCUUUGACAGCGUAUGUGCAAUGAUAAGGAAUAUCACGAUAGGUUGUCAAAAAAACUCUUACUAAUAUUAUGUUAUGUGUAAUUUUAUCUGAAAAUAAAAUAAAAAUUGAAUGAUGCCUAAUAAAAUAAUAUUAUAUAUAUAUAUAUAUAUUCUUAAUAAUUUAAUUAUCUACUAAAAUAACAUCCUUAUGUGUUUUUAAAUAAUUAAUUUUAAUGAAAUAAAAUUAAAACUUGAGGAUAAAAAUUCAAAAAAUAAAUAAAAUAAAAGCUAAACAUAAGCCAUGUUUGUGGGGUCAAGUGACUCAGCAUACUUAUCCAAAACAUGAAAGAGCCAUUUCAUUUUUUCUUUGAUGAAUGACACAUUGGACUUUUAUUAUUUUAUUUUUAAAAUAAAACAGAUUUGCUUACUCAAUUAUUUUUUGUUAUGGAGAAGUGGAAGAGUUAGGUUAGUGUUUUUUUUUUUUUAUCUAAAAUUCUAUUUUUUUAAUAUAUUUUUAUCUAAAAACACCUCAUAAAUACUUUUAAAUUAUCUCUAAACUAAUCCAUCAACUAAAAAGAAACUCUAAAAUAAUUUUAAAAUAUAAAGUUUAACUUAAAAGCAAUUCUCUCAACCUCUAUUUAUCUUUUUUUGGCAAUAUAAAGCUCAAAAACAUUAUGGUAACACUCUUUUUGUAAAGAAAAAUAUAUUGACACACAUAUGAGCUAUUUUCAUAAACAAAAACUUAUUAAUGUAUGUAUUUCUCUCUCCUUUACUAUUUUCAAUGAAUUUUUAUUAUUAUUUUAAAAAUUUCCAGAUUGAAAUGUUAUUAAAAUAGAGUUUUGGAUCAAAACAUAAAUAUUUUGAAAUAAAAUGGUGUGAAAUGAACAUUUCUCAAAUAAAAAAACUUUAAAUUCUUGCUAUAUGUCAAUUUUGACUCUCCAAGUCCUAAAUUUUUAUAUGCAAUAAAAUAGGAUUCUAUUUUGUAAAAUCAAACAUAAGUAUAAUGUAGAGACAUUUAAUUUUCCAAAAAAAAUAAAAAUAAGGAGCCUUAGCCUCGAAGUUCAUCGGACCUACGUCAUAAUGUCUUCGUCAUUACCCGACACCAGCCACGCCUUCAAGUCGUCGUUGACUGAUCAGAAUAAUAAUUUCCUAGGUCGGUCGUGCAGGUAAUUUAAAGGAGCCUUAGCCUGGAAGUUCCAUCACAUAGCAACUGGGAUUGGCAAUUGUUCUAGCCUUUUGAGUAGUUCAUCACAUAGCUAGCUAUGGCCACCGAAGACGUUUCUCUCGACCUUUCAACGCUUCUUUCUUCAGAAGAGAGGGACUUUCUCAUCCGCAACAAUGGUGAUCAGGUACUGCUUCUCUGAUCUUAUUCAAGUCUUCUUCUUGUCUUAUUAUAAGUUGAUGCCUUUUAAUUUUUAUAUGAACUUGUAGGUUUUUCUCGUAAUUAAGACGAAUAUCAUGUUUAAAUUAGACUGCAAGCCUUGCUGAAGAACAAAUUUAUGACCAAUUUCUGAAGCUUUUUAAUGAUUAAGAAAAAGCUCCUUUUUUUGUGUUGCUUUUCUCACUGGCAAGAGAAAGAAACCAUGAAUAAAAUUGUGAUUCGUUAAGGGCUGAUUUUUUUCUGAUAAUGUUCGACAUUAAUUUUUAGGUUAAGGUCACAAUUUGGUUGGGAAGAUUGUGGGUUCUACUUCUCUGGUUCGUGGGCGCCCAUGCCGUAAUUUCACUCCUUUGUUGGUAGAAGUCUAUGAACAGCUAUAUCCAAAGGGACUUUGAGGUCUUCAUUUCUUCUGACAGAGAUGAUGAAUCCUUCAACACAUAUUUCUCCGAAAUGCCUGGCUUGCUAUUCCCUUCUCUGAUACGGAGGCCCGCAAACGUCUUAAGGAAGUGUUCAAAGUAGAGGGAUCCCUAUCUUGUCAUUUUUGAUUGCGAAUGGCAAGGUUCCUGCGAUGAUGGAUCAGCACUGUCAAGGAACAUGGCGUGGAUGGGUAUCCGUUCAACCUUGAUAGACUGAAUUUCCUGAAAGAGCAAGAAGAGAACGCUAAGAAGAAUCAAACAUAAGCUCUAUCUUGGUUUCAAGCUCACGUGAUUAUGUGAUUUCAAAUGAUGGAAAAAAGGUUAGAUGGUUCAUUCAAUUAGCUAGUUUUGAAAUUGAAUUGAUGAUGCCAUCAUUCACUUUUUGCCUUUUUGGCUAUCUGUAAUGGCAGAUCCCUGUGUUGGACCUUGAAGGAAAAUUGGUUGGCUUGUAUUUCUCAAUCCAUGCUCAUAGGAUGUGCCGUGAAUUCACUCCUAAACUAGUGAAUUACAAGCGCUCAAGGAAAAAGAGAGAACUUUGAAGUAGUCCUAAUAUCUCUAGACGAGGAAAAACACUUCAAAGAGAGUUUUGAGACAAUGCCUUGGUUGGCAUUGCCGUUUAAGGACAAGAGCUGCGAGAAGCUAGCGCGGUAUUUUGAACUUAGAACCAUUCCUAAUCUUGUCAUAAUUGGCCAAGAUGGGAAGACUUUGAACCCAAAUGUAGUUGAACUCAUCGAAGACCAUGGAAUUGAAGCCUACCCAUUUACACCGGAAAAGCUUGAGAGCUAGCUGCAAUUGAAAAGGCAAAACUGGAAUCGCAGACGCUUGAGUCAGUUUUGGUUAAUGGGGAAAAUGAUUUUGUGAUU
Molecule: long non-coding RNA, 28042 nt
Filed under: Populus tremula
Lineage: Eukaryota; Viridiplantae; Streptophyta; Magnoliopsida; Malpighiales; Salicaceae
Description: long non-coding RNA (PTRE_LNC000506)
Source: RNAcentral